This 555-nucleotide long non-coding RNA is filed under the name Manacus vitellinus (golden-collared manakin). Its description in RNAcentral is "lncRNA (ENSMVIG00005003980.1)". The record is from RNAcentral. Lineage: Eukaryota; Metazoa; Chordata; Aves; Passeriformes; Pipridae.
UCUUUAUAAGAACCACUCUCUUCCAGUGGUGUGCAUCACUUGGACUUUACAAGAGCUAAGAUUUGGGAACCUCACUGAGUGAAUCAGAUGAGCGUGAUGCGAAGAGCCAAGAAAUGGAGAAUCAAAAUAUCUUGUGGAUCACACCCAACAAAUAGCUGCUGCUCACCUCACCGUGGCUACAGUCAUCAUUCAAGCUGUGCUCGGUGGUGGGGUACAGCAAAGUCCCCUGUAAUUAACAGAGACAAACAAGGACUAUGUUGCAAUGUGAAGAUAUGCAAGGCCAAGUUAGAUACAAGAAAACAACCAAGCAACCAUUUUUUUGCCAAAAACCUUUUGUGAACUGCCAAGAACUGUGGAGCAUUGAAACUUUACUGCCAUUCUCUCUCUGUGAGGAACAUUGGCUUUGACCUGCCUUUUCCAACAUUAACAUAAUUCUAUGUGUGUGUGUCAUUAAAAUACACAACAAAAAGAACUGCUUCGCUGCCCAUUGUCCCUUGCUGGGAAGGAACAAAUUGAACAAUCCAAUGCCAUAUGCUUGUCACUUUGCUUCAUGCA